RNAcentral lists this transfer RNA (74 nucleotides) under Piscibacillus halophilus. Its description in RNAcentral is "Piscibacillus sp. HS224 tRNA". It matches the Rfam family "tRNA". From Rfam's summary of the family: Transfer RNA (tRNA) molecules are approximately 80 nucleotides in length. Their secondary structure includes four short double-helical elements and three loops (D, anti-codon, and T loops). Further hydrogen bonds mediate the characteristic L-shaped molecular structure. tRNAs have two regions of fundamental functional importance: the anti-codon, which is responsible for specific mRNA codon recognition, and the 3' end, to which the tRNAs corresponding amino acid is attached (by aminoacyl-tRNA synthetases). tRNAs cope with the degeneracy of the genetic code in two manners: having more than one tRNA (with a specific anti-codon) for a particular amino acid; and 'wobble' base-pairing, i.e. permitting non-standard base-pairing at the 3rd anti-codon position. The record is from Rfam by way of RNAcentral. Lineage: Bacteria; Bacillati; Bacillota; Bacilli; Caryophanales; Bacillaceae. RNAcentral also lists the same sequence under 1 other name.
CGCGGGGUGGAGCAGUCUGGUAGCUCGUCGGGCUCAUAACCCGGAGGUCGCAGGUUCAAAUCCUGUCCCCGCAA